CCGUGGGUGACUGCGUGUCUAAAGGAAGCGAUAGGGGGACGAUGGAACGUAGCGUGAGCGAACCCGAUUCGGCUGGUUGCUCGGACGAGCCUGCAAAAAGUGGCGAUGUCCGAUUUAUGAACAUGAGCAGCAAGUGCUUGGGGACGUCAUCAUCGUCAGGGAGCCAGC
This 168-nucleotide non-coding RNA is filed under the name Novipirellula herctigrandis. The record is from RNAcentral. Lineage: Bacteria; Pseudomonadati; Planctomycetota; Planctomycetia; Pirellulales; Pirellulaceae.